Molecule: ribosomal RNA, 402 nt
Filed under: uncultured prokaryote
Description: bacterial SSU rRNA
Rfam family: Bacterial small subunit ribosomal RNA
Source: RNAcentral
UAGGGAAUAUUGGUAAUCUGGGAAACCGGGAACCAGCAACGCCGCGUGCGCGAUGAAGGCCUUCGGGUUGUAAAGCGCUUUUUGAGAGGAUGAGGAAGGACAGUACUCUUAGAAUAAGCCUCGGCUAACUACGUGCCAGCAGCCGCGGUAAAACGUAGGAGGCGAGCGUUAUCCGGAUUUACUGGGCGUAAAGCGUGUGUAGGCGGUUUGAUAAGUUGGAUGUGAAAGCUCCUGGCUUAACUGGGAGAGGUCGUUCAAAACUAUCAGACUUGAGAGUGGUAGAGGGAGGUGGAAUUCCGCAUGUAGUGGUGAAAUGCGUAGAUAUGCGGAGGAACACCAGUGGCGAAAGCGGCCUCCUGGCCCAUUUCUGACGCUGAAGCGCGAAAGCGUGGGGAGCGAACA